RNAcentral lists this ribosomal RNA (2900 nucleotides) under Klebsiella pneumoniae. Its description in RNAcentral is "23S ribosomal RNA". It matches the Rfam family "Bacterial large subunit ribosomal RNA". Lineage: Bacteria; Pseudomonadati; Pseudomonadota; Gammaproteobacteria; Enterobacterales; Enterobacteriaceae. The record is from RNAcentral.
UUAAGCGACUAAGCGUACACGGUGGAUGCCCUGGCAGUCAGAGGCGAUGAAGGACGUGCUAAUCUGCGAAAAGCGUCGGUAAGGUGAUAUGAACCGUUAUAACCGGCGAUGUCCGAAUGGGGAAACCCAGUGCAAUUCGUUGCACUAUCGUUAACUGAAUACAUAGGUUAACGAGGCGAACCGGGGGAACUGAAACAUCUAAGUACCCCGAGGAAAAGAAAUCAACCGAGAUUCCCCCAGUAGCGGCGAGCGAACGGGGAGCAGCCCAGAGUCUGAAUCAGCUUGUGUGUUAGUGGAACGGUCUGGAAAGUCCGACGGUACAGGGUGAUAGUCCCGUACACCAAAAUGCACAGGUUGUGAACUCGAAGAGUAGGGCGGGACACGUGUUAUCCUGUCUGAAUAUGGGGGGACCAUCCUCCAAGGCUAAAUACUCCUGACUGACCGAUAGUGAACCAGUACCGUGAGGGAAAGGCGAAAAGAACCCCGGCGAGGGGAGUGAAAAAGAACCUGAAACCGUGUACGUACAAGCAGUGGGAGCACCUUCGGGUGUGACUGCGUACCUUUUGUAUAAUGGGUCAGCGACUUAUAUUCUGUAGCAAGGUUAACCGUAUAGGGGAGCCGCAGGGAAACCGAGUCUUAACUGGGCGUUAAGUUGCAGGGUAUAGACCCGAAACCCGGUGAUCUAGCCAUGGGCAGGUUGAAGGUUGGGUAACACUAACUGGAGGACCGAACCGACUAAUGUUGAAAAAUUAGCGGAUGACUUGUGGCUGGGGGUGAAAGGCCAAUCAAACCGGGAGAUAGCUGGUUCUCCCCGAAAGCUAUUUAGGUAGCGCCUCGUGAAUUCAUCUUCGGGGGUAGAGCACUGUUUCGGCUAGGGGGUCAUCCCGACUUACCAACCCGAUGCAAACUACGAAUACCGAAGAAUGUUAUCACGGGAGACACACGGCGGGUGCUAACGUCCGUCGUGAAGAGGGAAACAACCCAGACCGCCAGCUAAGGUCCCAAAGUCAUGGUUAAGUGGGAAACGAUGUGGGAAGGCACAGACAGCCAGGAUGUUGGCUUAGAAGCAGCCAUCAUUUAAAGAAAGCGUAAUAGCUCACUGGUCGAGUCGGCCUGCGCGGAAGAUGUAACGGGGCUAAACCAUGCACCGAAGCUGCGGCAGCGACACUAUGUGUUGUUGGGUAGGGGAGCGUUCUGUAAGCCUGCGAAGGUGACCUGUGAGGGUUGCUGGAGGUAUCAGAAGUGCGAAUGCUGACAUAAGUAACGAUAAAGCGGGUGAAAAGCCCGCUCGCCGGAAGACCAAGGGUUCCUGUCCAACGUUAAUCGGGGCAGGGUGAGUCGACCCCUAAGGCGAGGCCGAAAGGCGUAGUCGAUGGGAAACAGGUUAAUAUUCCUGUACUUGGUGUUACUGCGAAGGGGGGACGGAGAAGGCUAUGUUAGCCGGGCGACGGUUGUCCCGGUUUAAGCAUGUAGGCUGGUUAUCCAGGCAAAUCCGGAUAAUCAAGGCUGAGGUGUGAUGACGAGGCACUACGGUGCUGAAGUAACAAAUGCCCUGCUUCCAGGAAAAGCCUCUAAGCAUCAGGUAACAUCAAAUCGUACCCCAAACCGACACAGGUGGUCAGGUAGAGAAUACCAAGGCGCUUGAGAGAACUCGGGUGAAGGAACUAGGCAAAAUGGUGCCGUAACUUCGGGAGAAGGCACGCUGGUGUGUAGGUGAAGCCCCUGCGGGUGGAGCUGAGACCAGUCGAAGAUACCAGCUGGCUGCAACUGUUUAUUAAAAACACAGCACUGUGCAAACACGAAAGUGGACGUAUACGGUGUGACGCCUGCCCGGUGCCGGAAGGUUAAUUGAUGGGGUUAUCCGUAAGGAGAAGCUCUUGAUCGAAGCCCCGGUAAACGGCGGCCGUAACUAUAACGGUCCUAAGGUAGCGAAAUUCCUUGUCGGGUAAGUUCCGACCUGCACGAAUGGCGUAAUGAUGGCCAGGCUGUCUCCACCCGAGACUCAGUGAAAUUGAACUCGCUGUGAAGAUGCAGUGUACCCGCGGCAAGACGGAAAGACCCCGUGAACCUUUACUAUAGCUUGACACUGAACAUUGAGCCUUGAUGUGUAGGAUAGGUGGGAGGCUUUGAAGCGUGGACGCCAGUCUGCGUGGAGCCAACCUUGAAAUACCACCCUUUAAUGUUUGAUGUUCUAACGUUGGCCCCUGACCGGGGUUGCGGACAGUGUCUGGUGGGUAGUUUGACUGGGGCGGUCUCCUCCCAAAGCGUAACGGAGGAGCACGAAGGUUAGCUAAUCCUGGUCGGACAUCAGGAGGUUAGUGCAAUGGCAUAAGCUAGCUUGACUGCGAGCGUGACGGCGCGAGCAGGUGCGAAAGCAGGUCAUAGUGAUCCGGUGGUUCUGAAUGGAAGGGCCAUCGCUCAACGGAUAAAAGGUACUCCGGGGAUAACAGGCUGAUACCGCCCAAGAGUUCAUAUCGACGGCGGUGUUUGGCACCUCGAUGUCGGCUCAUCACAUCCUGGGGCUGAAGUAGGUCCCAAGGGUAUGGCUGUUCGCCAUUUAAAGUGGUACGCGAGCUGGGUUUAGAACGUCGUGAGACAGUUCGGUCCCUAUCUGCCGUGGGCGCUGGAGAAUUGAGGGGGGCUGCUCCUAGUACGAGAGGACCGGAGUGGACGCAUCACUGGUGUUCGGGUUGUCAUGCCAAUGGCACUGCCCGGUAGCUAAAUGCGGAAGAGAUAAGUGCUGAAAGCAUCUAAGCACGAAACUUGCCCCGAGAUGAGUUCUCCCUGAGACUUUAAGUCUCCUGAAGGAACGUUAAAGACGAUGACGUUGAUAGGCCGGGUGUGUAAGCGCAGCGAUGCGUUGAGCUAACCGGUACUAAUGAACCGUGAGGCUUAACCUU